GUUGUCGUUCUCCGGUGGUGCAAGUACUUCGCGAGGUGGCCGGUGCCGCUGAGUCAAAGAGAGAAGCAAGAAGCGGACACACACUUCGAAGAUAUGUCUUCGUAUCCGUUGCUUAAUGGUAACAUCGAUAGAAAGCACCGGGGCGCUCUUACGGAAGCGGGCAACAACUUAGACGUGUUGGUCACUCGUACCCCAAAGACUAACUGGCUGAUACACGAUUCAUGGGUUGAUAGGUUAAGUUGGGCUGGACUUCUACCCUUG
Molecule: long non-coding RNA, 261 nt
Organism: Triticum aestivum (bread wheat)
Lineage: Eukaryota; Viridiplantae; Streptophyta; Magnoliopsida; Poales; Poaceae
Exons: 3
Source: RefSeq, a predicted model, not a curated record